CCCUAGUUCUGACCGUAAACGAUGCCAACUAGCGAUCCGCCGAUGGAGAUUAUAUUGCCUUGGUGGGGAGCUUCCCGGAAACGAAAGUCUUCCGGUUCCGGGGGAAGUAUGGUUGCAAAGCUGAAACUUAAAGGAAUUGACGGAAGGGCACCACCAGGAGUGGAGCCUGCGGCUUAAUUUGACUCAACACGGGGAAACUCACCCGGCCCGGACACUGUGAGGAUUGACAGAUUGAUAGCUUUUUCAUGAUUCAGUGGAUGGUGGUGCAUGGCCGUUCUUAGUUCGUGGAGUGAUUUGUCUGGUUUAUUCCGAUAACGAGCGAGACUCUAACCUACUAAAUAGCUGAUACAUAUUUUUUGUGUAUUCGGCUUCUUAGAGGGAUUUGCGGUGUUCAGCCGAAAGAAAUUGAGCAAUAACAGGUCUGUGAUGCCCUUAGAUGUCCGGGGCUGCACGCGCGCUACACUGGCAAAAUCAACGUGCUUGUCCUGCCCCGAAAGGGGUGGGUAAACCAUUGAAAAUUUGCCGUGAUUGGGAUCGGAAAUUGCAAUUAUUUUCCGUGAACGAGGAAUUCCAAGUAAGUGCGAGUCAUCAGCUCGCGUUGAUUACGUC
This 609-nucleotide ribosomal RNA is filed under the name Meloidogyne graminis. RNAcentral's name for it is "SSU rRNA". It matches the Rfam family "Eukaryotic small subunit ribosomal RNA", at positions 1018 to 1651 of the family's 1831-position model. Lineage: Eukaryota; Metazoa; Nematoda; Chromadorea; Rhabditida; Meloidogynidae. The record is from RNAcentral.